Long non-coding RNA from Hyla sarda, 1547 nucleotides. RefSeq lists it as uncharacterized. The record is from RefSeq and is a predicted model, not a curated record. The transcript has 3 exons. NCBI's taxonomy places the organism in Eukaryota, Metazoa, Chordata, Amphibia, Anura, Hylidae.
GACUUUUAUUCUGUCUUCUUCUUAUUAAGUCUGCAUAGAGAGAAUAGGGAGACGGCCUCCUGGGGGAAUCGCACAGCCGACUGUCCAAAGGAUUUUUAUAGCAUGGAGUCUCGCCAGAGUUGCAGCAGGUUAGGGCACAAAGAGCCAAUUAUAUCUGAAAGUCACAAGAGGAGACCCUGAAGGAGAAAGGUACACCCCAAGCAUUAUACUGUGUGUACCCUGGGGUGAAAAAACGUUAUAUCGAGUACAAAACCCCCCAAUGGACAAGGGAUUCAUUAGGUUAGUCAGACCACUCUGCCACGUGACAUCUCAAACUAUUGCAUCCACUGGAAAACAACUACCAGCUAGCCUGACUACCACUCCUAUGUAGGUACCACAAUAAUGUACGCUUUAAUGUCACAGAAGGAAAUGAACAAAUUCAGAAAAAAGCUUCAUAUCCAUCCGAGCUCAGAUUAUACAGAAUAGAAGACCCGGCAGGAGAUCAUUUACAAGAAUCAUUUCCAGAAAAGCCCCAAUGAAGAUAAUCCCAUAGACCGACACGGAUCGGGGGAGCAGAGGAGACGUCUUUAUAGAGAUCAUGGAGAAUAUUCAGCCGAGAUUCCGGACCGCAUGAGGCGUCUCUGUCCUGAUGGAACGUUUAUCAGAUUUAGGACUCGUUGCUGCCGCAACUAGAUAAUUCCCAUGAGGCCUAGAGGUUUCUCUGAAAAUGGGAGGUCAGACAUAUUGUUAGGAAAAUUGUAAUCCUACCCCAGCGGGGGCAAUGAAAUUACACCGCUACAAUGUCACCGUAAUACACCGCACCUGGCUGAGGCCAGAUAAGGAGCCCGGCUUUUAUGUCAUUAAAGGUGAGCAGGAGCGGUCAUGUAAGUUAAAUCCAAAAUCAGAAAAUUGUAUUUAAAUAAACCCCAAGAUAUAUAACUAACUAAUAUAGUGUUAUCACUUACUAUACAAGCAUCAGCAUUUUUUUUACUUGAUUUAUCCUUAACAGGAAGUUGUGUAAUCCUCUCAUUGUCAGUGUGGUGUGGUCUCAGCAGCUCCCCGGUUCCUCCCCUUCUUCCGUGACAACACAGGAGGUGUGGCUGGGUCUUGUCUGUUUGUCCUAGCCCCACCCCCUGAGCGAUGUCACCACCUCCCAAUCAUAUACACGUAUACAUAUAUAUCUUUAUUGGGACAUUUAUGGAAAAAUGAGGUGUGGUUACAGCAUGCUGCCUUGUGCUGAACAAUGCCCUAGGCAGAGAAGCAGACAGGGAAUGAAUACAGCAGGUGCUGAAACCUCAUUGUGCGAUAGUCUGCUGUAAGAGGGGAGAAGAGCUGAAGAAAAGCAAAUGCAUUUUGCGAAUUGUAGUACUGUGUGACUGCUCAACUAGGAAGUAGUACAAAAAAUACAGAUCUAAGUCCCCAAAACAAAUAGAUUUUUCUUGGUUUCAGCAUUUUUAUGUUUAGUUUUUUACUUCUGUACUUCGGUGGGAAAACAUUUUUUUUUUUUUUUAUCAACUGGUGCCAGAAAGUUAAACAGAUUUGUAAAUUACUUCUAUUAAAAAAUCUUU